Molecule: ribosomal RNA, 440 nt
Filed under: uncultured Bacillota bacterium
Lineage: Bacteria; Bacillati; Bacillota
Description: bacterial SSU rRNA
Rfam family: Bacterial small subunit ribosomal RNA
Source: RNAcentral
CCUACGGGGGGCUGCAGUAGGGAAUAUUCCGCAAUGGGCGAAAGCCUGACGGAGCAACGCCGCGUGAGUGAAGAAGAUCUUCGGAUUGUAAAGCUCUGUCAACAGGGACGAUAAUGACGGUACCUGUGGAGGAAGCCACGGCAAACUACGUGCCAGCAGCCGCGGUAAUACGUAGGUGGCAAGCGUUGUCCGGAAUUACUGGGCGUAAAGCGCAUGUAGACGGCAUAGCAAGCCAAGUGUGAAAUUUAGGGGCUUAACCUCUAAACUGCGCUUGGAACUGCUGAGCUUGAGUGCAGGAGAGGCAAGUGGAAUUCCCAGUGUAGCAGUGAAAUGCGUAGAUAUUGGGAGGAACACCAGUGGCGAAGGCGACUUGCUGGACUGCAACUGACGUUGAGAUGCGAAAGCUAGGGGAGCAAACGGGCUUAGAUACCCCUGUAGUC